Molecule: ribosomal RNA, 425 nt
Filed under: Verrucomicrobiota bacterium
Lineage: Bacteria; Pseudomonadati; Verrucomicrobiota
Description: Verrucomicrobia bacterium partial 16S ribosomal RNA
Rfam family: Bacterial small subunit ribosomal RNA
Source: RNAcentral
UGAGGAAUAUUGGUCAAUGGGCGAGAGCCUGAACCAGCCACGUCGCGUGAAGGAAGACUGACCUUACGGUUUGUAAACUUCUUUUGUAGAGGGGUAAUGGCAGAUACGUGUAUUUGCGUGAAAGUACUCUACGAAUAAGCAUCGGCUAACUCCGUGCCAGCAGCCGCGGUAAUACGGGGGAUGCGAGCGUUAUCCGGAAUUAUUGGGUUUAAAGGGUGCGCAGGUGGCUAAUCAGGUCAGUGGUGAAAAGCUAUGGCUCAACCAUGGUCUUGCCAUUGAAACCGUAUAGCUAGAGAGGAGACGAGGUAGGCGGAAUGUGUGGUGUGGCGGUGAAAUGCAUAGAUAUCACACAGAACUCCGAUUGCGAAGGCAGCUUACCAGGCUUUAUCUGACACUUAGGCACGACAGCGUGGGGAUCAAACAGG